Molecule: long non-coding RNA, 1252 nt
Organism: Saimiri boliviensis boliviensis (Bolivian squirrel monkey)
Lineage: Eukaryota; Metazoa; Chordata; Mammalia; Primates; Cebidae
Source: RefSeq, a predicted model, not a curated record
CAGGUUUCUUUUUCUGCCUGCACUUUCUUUGAGGUUGCAGUAGAGUGUGUGUGUCUAUAGAAGGUCUACUUUUAAUUCUCAAGUCUUCCCAGAGAGCAGCAGACACAGCAAUACAACCUGAUUCAAAACUCAAAUCUGUGCUGCCCUAACAGGCUUGAAGAUGCCUCAGCCCUUGCCUCAGCAGCUAACGAUAUAACGUGCAUGGGAUGUAAAGCUACCAGAUGGUGGAGCCUCCAGCAGUCAGGAUACCUGAGUAACUAUAUGGAUCAGGGCCCCUGCUCCCAAUACAACCCAGAAUUGGAUAUGUAAGAUGAACAAGAAGUACAUCAAGAAGUAAACACCUAUUUCAGUAAGUCAGUUAGGUUUAGAGGUUCAUUUAGCAUCAGAGCAUAAGCUUAGUCUAUCUUGACUGACAGGAGGUUUUGCAAAUGAUUAAGUUACAUUUUUAAUGAUAUGUUAAUAUACUAACAACCUUGUUAAUGAUUUUGCUUUUCAAUGUCUCUUGCCAUGUCUCUAUCCUGAAAAGUAUUCUGAGAUUGCAAAACUAUUCAUUUACCUUUUGUGUAUGCAAAUAAGGAUUUUCUUAAUAUAAUACAACCAGAGGAAAAAACAAUGAAAGCAAAAUGGGGAGAAUGCUGAGUUGCUAAAGCUAAAAAGAAUCUCCUGAUCAUUUAUACUCCCAGUUUAAAAAUUUAGUUUCCUAUCAGCCUUAUUCUCUCAAUAAGUAUCUUUAUAAUCAGAAAAUGUAAAUUUGAGCUUGUAAAACAAAUUUAGGCUCGUAAAUGCCAUUUUUAUGUUUACAUAUUAUGUCUCCCAUAAAAGUACACUAGAAAAUGGUUGAAAAUAAUUACUUUUAGGGCUACAAAGAAUACAUCUCAAUUGUCUUUCACACGAUACCCUUAACAGACUACUAGCAACCUUAACCGUAGGAUGUGGGUGGGGCCUUGGUGUUUAUCUAGUGAAGCCCUUCAUUUUUAUAGAUUGGGUAACCAAGGCCUAGAGAGGUCAAGUGUAUCUCUCAAGGUCACAUACUGGGAAAAGAACAGAGCCAGAACUCAGGGUUUGCCCACUUCAUGUGGAAGUGCUGUCACAUGAAGUUUCCCUCCAUCUUUUACUCAAGCAAUUAACUUACUCUCUCAAUUCACCCAAACAUUUGGUUAAUGUGGCAUGAUUUCCCACAAAGUGUUUUCCAGCUGUGAAAGCUAGGUCAAACUAUUUACUUAUUUACUUAUGUAGCUUUCUUAGUUUAUUA